UCCUUUCAAUUGCUGAAUAAUCUCAUGUAGAACAUCAUCUCCCAAAGUCAAAAUCGUAUCAAGAUUGGCGCACAAACAUGUGUGUGUGUGUGUGUAUCUCUAUAUAUAUAGGAGAUGCUAAAUCAACAUCGCGAUUGAGCCGCACUCUCUGUGCAGUCUUCUCCAUGAUUGCAAAUUGCAGCAGAAAACCAGCUUACUUACAGCAAUGAGAGGUGCUCAUCAUCUUCAGGCAAUUCUGAUCCUCUCCAUCUUGUUGCUGCCAAUGUUUCUCUUCGGAUCUGUCUCAGCUAAUUCAGUGAUUGAUAGCAAGCCGGAUGGGGCAGUGAUCAUUAGCUUGGAGAAGCGAGGAGGCCGUCGGUUAGUUCUUGGAAGAUCAGCAUCAAGAUCUCUUUCGGCAAACUACGAUCCUAGGCACGAUCCUCCCGUCACUCCCUGACUCUGCAAGAAGAUUUGGCGCCAAAACAUGAAAUGGAUGAAGGAUUAAUCUUAGAUAGGGACUCGUUUUUGUUUUGUUCUAUUGAAGAUGUGAGGAUUCUUUUCUCUUUUUUUUCCUUUGCAAAAUUUUAACUGAUCUGAUGUGCUUCGGCUAUAUUUGUACUCUCGCUGGCUGGAAAUAGACAACCAAUACGAUUAAUCACGUUAAUUGUAACGCUGAACAAACUGCUUAAGGAUCCGAAUCACAUUUUUACUCUACUUGACUGUUUUUGGUAACAAUACCGAUACUAUGAAUCACAUUUUUAUUCUAGCUACUUAAUUAGGAUCCCAUUGAAAUGGAGAAUUGACAGAGGAAUUUUGGAGGAUUCAUUUUUCUUUGAAUUUUUUAUAUAGAGCCCUUUGAUUCAUGGAAGAGUAUAGGAAAAUUGCCAUAGGCAUUCCUAUGAUCAAUUCCAUAGGAAAUAAGUAAGAUGUAGACUUUUUGUGAAACUUUCGUUUGGUUAAAUUUUUCAUGUGGUGCAAUCAAAACGACCUCUUCCUAUUUUCUAUGUUCUCAUUUCUUAUAAGAUUGAAAAAACAUACAAUUUUAAUUCCUAUAUUUUUCCUAUUCUAUAUUUCAAAGAGGGCUUUACUAUUUUCAACGCUAUACCUAUGUAUAGCAUGCACUCAUAACUACUACAAUUUGUUAGUUAGUUUCAUUGCCAGUAUUAUCAUU
Molecule: non-coding RNA, 1150 nt
Organism: Oryza sativa Japonica Group (Japanese rice)
Lineage: Eukaryota; Viridiplantae; Streptophyta; Magnoliopsida; Poales; Poaceae
Source: RefSeq, a predicted model, not a curated record